RNAcentral lists this ribosomal RNA (283 nucleotides) under uncultured bacterium. RNAcentral describes it as "partial 16S ribosomal RNA". It matches the Rfam family "Bacterial small subunit ribosomal RNA", at positions 773 to 1060 of the family's 1533-position model. The record is from RNAcentral.
GUGGAUUAGAUACCCCGGUAGUCCACGCCGUAAACGAUGAUGACUCGACGUUGGCAAUAUACUGUUCAGCGUCCAAGUGAAAACGUUAAGUCAUCCACCUGGGGAGUACGAUCGCAAGGUUGAAACUCAAAGGAAUUGACGGGGGCCCGCACAAGCGGUGGAGCAUGUGGUUUAAUUCGAUGAUACGCGAGGAACCUUACCAGGGCUUAAAUGGGAAUUGACAGAUUGGGAAACUAAUCCUCCUUCGGGCAAUUUUCAAGGUGCUGCACGGUCGUCGACAACU